RNAcentral lists this ribosomal RNA (499 nucleotides) under uncultured bacterium. Its description in RNAcentral is "partial 16S ribosomal RNA". It matches the Rfam family "Bacterial small subunit ribosomal RNA", at positions 899 to 1397 of the family's 1533-position model. The record is from RNAcentral.
ACUCAAAUGAAUUGACGGGGGCCCGCACAAGCGGUGGAUCAUGUGGUUUAAUUCGAAGCAACGCGAAGAACCUUACCUGGGUUUGACAUCCCCUGACAACUGUAGAGAUACAGCUUUAGUAGCAAUACUACAGGGAGACAGGUGCUGCAUGGCUGUCGUCAGCUCGUGUGGUGACAUGUUGGGUUAAGUCCCGCAACGAGCGCAACCCCUGUCCUUAGUUGCCAUCAUUAAGUUGGGCACUCUAGGGAGACUGCCGUGGUUAACACGGAGGAAGGUGGGGAUGACGUCAAGUCCUCAUGGCCCUUAUAUCCAGGGCGACACACGUGAUACAAUGGCCGGUACAAAGGGACGCCAAAGGGUGACCUGGAGCAAAUCCCAAAAAGCCGGUCUCAGUUCGGAUUGGAGUCUGCAAUUCGACUCCAUGAAGGUGGAAUCGCUAGUAAUCGCGGAUCAGCACGCCGCGGUGAAUACGUUCCCGGGCCUUGUACACACCGCCCGU